This is a non-coding RNA of Myotis davidii, 109 nucleotides long. Lineage: Eukaryota; Metazoa; Chordata; Mammalia; Chiroptera; Vespertilionidae. The record is from Rfam.
AUCGCUUCUCGGCCUAUUGGUUAAGAUCAAGUGUAGUAUAUGUUCUUAUCAGUUUAAUACCACUGUCAAGUUGGGAAUCCUUAUCACUAUUAGCCUCAGUUUACCCCUG